Molecule: non-coding RNA, 128 nt
Filed under: Ornithorhynchus anatinus (platypus)
Lineage: Eukaryota; Metazoa; Chordata; Mammalia; Monotremata; Ornithorhynchidae
Source: RNAcentral
UAACAUUAUGAAAGGAGAGAAGGUUAGCACUCCCCUUGAGAAGGAUGGAAGAGGUCCUGGUGGCCUUUACAACACAUAUGUGGUUGAGGCCUUGCCACCUACUUAGUGGUAUCUAACCAAGAUUUUCU